RNAcentral lists this non-coding RNA (189 nucleotides) under Desulfobacterales bacterium. Lineage: Bacteria; Pseudomonadati; Thermodesulfobacteriota; Desulfobacteria; Desulfobacterales. The record is from RNAcentral.
AAAUUUGCUCAACUUUAUGGUGCAUUCAAAUGCUUGAUAGGGAAACCGGUUAGAUUCCGGUACGGACCCACCGCUGUAUUCGGAGACGAAAUCUGUAAAAACCACUGUUUCGUAACAAAACGAAAUGGGAAGGUGCAGAAAGUAGAACGAUCCGUAAGUCAGAAGACCUGCCAUAAAGUCUCGUAAAAA